CGGACAGCUCGAUAGAUCAUUUAUCUAUGCGUUUAACGAGCAACGAUACAGUCUGGAGGUAUUAGGUGUUUACCACUCACCUGCACUCUCUGUCUAUGACGAUCCUGUUUCCGUUGCCGCCUCUCCAAUUCUUCUUUUCUCUCGAUCAACGACCUUAUCUCGACCGUGGCUACGGGCGCGAUGCUAUCGUCAGUUACCUGCUCUGGUGGUGAACUCGGCGUGCUCGUGCUCGAUGCCUCCACCACGGAGACGUACUCGCUAAUGCCAGUUUCGCUCUUCUGCAACUUCAAUACCGGCGUCUCGAGGCCGCACAGGAACACUUGGCCGAAGAACAGAAUCUUGUUUAUCCUGAGGCACACUUGAGCAACUUCCUGGAAUACAACAUGAGCCAAGACUUAGCGUGGACGGAAGAGAGAACGGAGGACGCAAGUCUGUUUUGAAAUUUCAAUCACGAGAGAGAUUGACCUUUGU
Molecule: unclassified non-coding RNA, 471 nt
Filed under: Bombus terrestris (buff-tailed bumblebee)
Lineage: Eukaryota; Metazoa; Arthropoda; Insecta; Hymenoptera; Apidae
Description: misc RNA ENSBTSG00005036591.1
Source: RNAcentral